This 413-nucleotide ribosomal RNA is filed under the name uncultured bacterium. RNAcentral's name for it is "bacterial SSU rRNA". It matches the Rfam family "Bacterial small subunit ribosomal RNA", at positions 505 to 916 of the family's 1533-position model. The record is from RNAcentral.
GUGCCAGCAGCCGCGGUAAGACGUAGGGGGCGAGCGUUGUCCGGAAUUACUGGGCGUAAAGAGCACGUAGGCGGGUAAGAAAGUCAGAUGUGAAAGACCGUGGCUUAACUACGGGGUUGCAUCUGAAACUGCUAAUCUUGAGGGCAGGAGAGGUCAGUGGAAUUCCUGGUGUAGCGGUGAAAUGCGUAGAAAUCAGGAGGAACACCGGUGGCGAAGGCGACUGACUGGACUGACCCUGACGCUGAGGUGCGAAAGCGUGGGUAGCAAACAGGAUUAGAUACCCUGGUAGUCCACGCUGUAAACGAUGGAUACUAGGUGUGGGAGGUAUCGACCCCUUCCGUGCCGGAGCAAACGCAAUAAGUAUCCCGCCUGGGGAGUACGGUCGCAAGGCUGAAACUCAAAUAAAUUGACGG